GACGAACGCUGGCGGCGUGCUUAACACAUGCAAGUCGAACGGAAAGGCCUGCUUUCCCUUGUGGAUUGCGGGUCCUCGAGUGGCCAACGGGUGAGUAACACGUGAGUGAUCUGCCCCCAACUUGGGUAUAAGCCUGGGAAACUGGGUCUAAUCCCCGAUAGGACUGCAGGGUGGUGCCUGUGGUGGAACACGAUUUUCUAGUGGUUGGGGAUGAGCUCGCGGCCUAUCAGCUUGUUGGUGGGGUAAUGGCCUACCAAGGCGGCGACGGGUAGCCGGCCUGAGAAGGUGGACGGUCACAUUGGGACUGAGAUACGGCCCAGACUGCGACGGGAGGCAGGAGUGGGGAAGAGAGUGCAAUGAGCGGAAGCCUGAGGCAGCGACGUCGCGUGGGGGAUGACGGGCUUCGGGUAGUAAACUCCUUUCGACCGCGAGGAAGCCAGCUGGUUGGAAGGGUGGUGACGGUAGUGGUAGAAGAAGCACCGGCCAACUACGUG
Molecule: ribosomal RNA, 494 nt
Filed under: uncultured bacterium
Lineage: Bacteria
Description: partial 16S ribosomal RNA
Rfam family: Bacterial small subunit ribosomal RNA
Source: RNAcentral